This 414-nucleotide ribosomal RNA is filed under the name uncultured bacterium. RNAcentral's name for it is "bacterial SSU rRNA". It matches the Rfam family "Bacterial small subunit ribosomal RNA", at positions 92 to 518 of the family's 1533-position model. The record is from RNAcentral.
UGAGUGGCGGACGGGUGAGUAACGCGUGGGUAACCUACCCUUCGACAGGGGGAGUAACAGUCGGAAACGACUGCUAAUACCGCAUAAGCGCACAGUAUCGCAUGAUACAGUGUGAAAAACUCCGGUGGUGAAGGAUGGACCCGCGUCUGAUUAGCUAGUUGGUGAGGUAACGGCUCACCAAGGCGACGAUCAGUAGCCCGAUCUGAGAGGGUGACCGGCCACAUUGGGACUGAGACACGGCCCAAACUCCUACGGGAGGCAGCAGUGGGGGAACAUUGCACAAUGGGCGAAAGCCUGAUGCAGCGAACGCCGCGUGAGUGAUGAAGUAUUUCGGUAUGUAGAGCUCUAUCAGCAGGGAAGAAAAAUGACGGUACCUGACUAAGAAGCUCCGGCUAAAUACGUGCCAGCAGCCGC